This 658-nucleotide ribosomal RNA is filed under the name uncultured marine haptophyte. RNAcentral describes it as "bacterial SSU rRNA". It matches the Rfam family "Bacterial small subunit ribosomal RNA", at positions 532 to 1196 of the family's 1533-position model. Lineage: Eukaryota; Haptophyta. The record is from RNAcentral.
GUGCAAGCGUUAUCCGGAAUCAUUGGGCGUAAAGCGCCUGUAGGUUGUUUAAUAAGUCCGUUGUUAAAGACUAGGGCUUAACCCUAGGAAAGCGAUGGAAACUGAUAGACUUGAGUAUGGCAGGGGUAGAGGGAAUUUCUAGUGUAGCGGUGAAAUGCGUAGAUAUUAGAAAGAACACCGGUGGCGAAAGCGCUCUACUGGACCAUUACUGACACUGAGAGGCGAAAGCUAGGGGAGCGAAAGGGAUUAGAUACCCCUGUAGUCCUAGCCGUAAACGAUGGAUACUAGAUGUUGCGUUUAUUAUGCAGUAUCGUAGCUAACGCGUUAAGUAUCCCGCCUGGGGAGUACGCUCGCAAGGGUGAAACUCAAAGGAAUUGACGGGGGCCCGCACAAGCGGUGGAGCAUGUGGUUUAAUUCGAUGCAACGCGAAGAACCUUACCAGGGCUUGACAUACUACAGAUCUUUUUGAGAAAGAAGAGUGCCUUCGGGAAUGUAGAUACAGGUGGUGCAUGGCUGUCGUCAGCUCGUGUCGUGAGAUGUUGGGUUAAGUCCCGCAACGAGCGCAACCCUCGUUUUUAGUUGCCAAUUUAUUGGGAUCUCUAGAAAGACUGCCCGGUGACAAACCCGGAGGAAGGUGAGGAUGACGUCAAGUCAGCAU